This 513-nucleotide ribosomal RNA is filed under the name uncultured bacterium. RNAcentral describes it as "partial 16S ribosomal RNA". It matches the Rfam family "Bacterial small subunit ribosomal RNA", at positions 28 to 523 of the family's 1533-position model. The record is from RNAcentral.
GACGAACGCUGGCGGCGUGCCUAAUACAUGCAAGUAGAACGCUGAAGGAAGGAGCUUGCUCUUUCCGGAUGAGUUGCGAACGGGUGAGUAACGCGUAGGUAACCUGCCUGGUAGCGGGGGAUAACUAUUGGAAACGAUAGCUAAUACCGCAUAACAGUAGAUAUCGCAUGAUAGCUGCUUGAAAGGUGCAAAUGCACCACUACCAGAUGGACCUGCGUUGUAUUAGCUAGUUGGUGAGGUAACGGCUCACCAAGGCAACGAUACAUAGCCGACCUGGGAGGGUGAUAGGCCACACUGGGACGGAGACACGGCCCAGACACCGACGGGAGGCAGCAGUAGGGAAUCUUCGGCAAUGGACGGAAGUCUGACCGAGCAACGCCGCGUGAGUGAAGAAGGUUUUCGGAUCGUAAAGCUCUGUUGUAAGAGAAGAACGAGUGUGAGAGUGGAAAGUUCACACUGUGACGGUAUCUUACCAGAAAGGGACGGCUAACUACGUGCCAGCCGCCGCCGUAA